RNAcentral lists this ribosomal RNA (253 nucleotides) under uncultured bacterium. RNAcentral's name for it is "partial 16S ribosomal RNA". It matches the Rfam family "Bacterial small subunit ribosomal RNA", at positions 524 to 776 of the family's 1533-position model. The record is from RNAcentral.
UACGGAGGGGGCUACCGUUAUUCGGAAUUAUUGGGCGUAAAGGGCGCGUAGGCGGUCUCUAAAGUCAGAUGUGAAAGCCCGGGGCUUAACCUCGGAAGUGCAUUUGAAACUCAGAGACUAGAGUAUGGGAGAGGGAAGUGGAAUUCCUGGUGUAGCGGUGAAAUGCGUAGAUAUCAGGAGGAACACCAGUGGCGAAGGCGACUUCCUGGACCAAUACUGACGCUGAGGCGCGAAGGCGUGGGGAGGAAACAGG